CUGACAUCUCAUUACUUCAAGUGAAAAUAUUUCAAGAACUAAGCAAGAUAUGAAGAAUCGGUAAAAGAAGUUAUUAAAUAGUUUCAAAAGUUCUAUCAAAUGAGAAAAUAAAAAAAUAUAUUGCCAUUUCCCUUUAAAUUUGCGUGUUUGGAUGGCCUGAUCCAAACACGGGUUUGGACCAAUCAGAGCACGCGUUAUAUUAUGUUAUUUUAUAAUCGUUCUUCUUGUCUAGAUCAAAAUUUCGUCUAUAGCUGGAAUCAUGCAUUAGAUAAUCCCAGAACCGGCAUUGCCAGGACAAAUCGCGUUCAUUAAUUUCCAUAGUUCAUCCGUGAAGCGGAUGAUCAAUUCAGGCCAUUCUGUAAUUAAUAAUUUUUUGGUUGGAAGAGAUAACGUUGUUUAUAUGAAGAUAUUAAAUAUUAAAUUUCUAGGGGUUUUUUCAUGUCCGCAUCUUCCAUAUCCGCAUUUCCGUGUCCGUUUGUCCGUGUUUCCAGGUAACUGCAUUCCCGGACCGCACCCAAAAUGGGGCAACAUUGCCAUU
Molecule: non-coding RNA, 538 nt
Organism: Paramuricea clavata
Lineage: Eukaryota; Metazoa; Cnidaria; Anthozoa; Malacalcyonacea; Plexauridae
Source: the annotation of a GenBank genome assembly